ACUCCACUCUCGACUCCCUGUCUAUCUUUUCUCUCAAUAGGUAAGAACUAAAAAAUUCCAUCUAAACCUUUGGAGCUCUCUCUGCUCCCUCUCUUUCUCCCAACACACUCACACAAAACAUCAAAAAAGGGGAGGGGCAGCCACCGAUUGGACAGAAAAGCUUGAAAUCUUCUCAAAACUUUAGUCAAGGAACUACAACCCUCAUUAAGGUUUUUUUUUUGCCUUUUUUCGGCUUUUUUUUCUUAAUUAAUUAGAUUAAAUGCAUGUUUUGCUACCUAUUUGUCUCUUUCUUUCACUGAUGUUGUUGUUAUGUGGUGUUGUUGAAGUUUUUGGGAUAAGCCAUGCACAAAAUUAAGAAAAAAGAAACGGGCCUAUGAAUGCAUGUCAAGUGUUUGUGAAAAUGCCAAAAUAAAAAUAAAUCAAAUUAGUGAAUCUUUUGUGCUUAUUUUUUGUCAACAAUAGAUGACCUAAAGCUAGUAAAGGUCUGAAAAUGUUUGGUUAUCUAAAAUUUUUGGAGUUUUGAGCUUUAAAGGCAUUGAAUUAUUUUUCUUCAUUUAGGGGCUGUUUUGCUUUAUUUUAGCCCUUUUAUGUUGUUUUCUUGUCAAAUUAAAAUCGUAGUUGUAUUGUAGAAGUUGCAAGGAGUGUUAUAGUAUAAUUUUAUGAUUUUUGGUGAAAGAUAUGGUGAUUUGAAAAAAUAAAAACUGGACUGACUUUUGCUAUUUUGUCCACUUUCAGGUCAUUUUUUGUAAAAACUAAUUUGAAAAAUGGAUUCUACGCGAAAAAUCGAGUGAGGGGUUGAAUUUUGGUAAUUUUUCAUAACCGGAGAGGUCGCCGGCGAACGGCGGGGGCGACGGUCCACUGGUGGCGGCGGUGCCGGCGGCUGCCAUGGCCACUAGUUGAAGAAGCUUCAGCUGGUCAGGGAAGAAGAAGAAGAAAUGGAAGGGGAAGAAGAAGAAAGAAAAGAAAAGAAAGAAAGAAAAGAAAAAGAAGAAAAAGAAUUGGGCUGAUGUUUGUUUUUGUUUUUUUGGUGAGCUUGUGUUUAUUUUUUGUUGCGUUUUGAGAAUGGGUUUUGAUUUAUUUCUUUUGGGCUUCAAUUGGGUUAGAAGGUCAGAGCCCGUGCAUUUUUUUCGGGCUUUAGUGAUAAAAGGAUAGGCUAGACUGCUUUUUCUUUUGAGUUUCAGUUGGGCUUAGGUAGUAUCUGACCCAAGCAAAAAAUAAAAGAAAGGCCUGACGGCCUUUUUUCUUGCCCAAAUCAGAAACCAAAGCUUUCACUUUAGCUCCUGAUCUUUGAAGUAGUUUUAGUGUGGCUCAGAACAUUUUAAAUUUCUUUCACUUUGGUCCUUAAAAUAAUUGCACUUUGACCCCCUAAACUUUUAUCAUUUAUUUAAUUUUGACCCUUAAACUUUGGAAAAUUUAUAUUUUUG
RNAcentral lists this long non-coding RNA (1424 nucleotides) under Coffea arabica (coffee). RNAcentral's name for it is "long non-coding RNA (CARA_LNC003714)". The record is from RNAcentral. Lineage: Eukaryota; Viridiplantae; Streptophyta; Magnoliopsida; Gentianales; Rubiaceae.